AGAAUCACAUCUAACAAAUCGGAACAGACGCCACCUGUGUGCGUCCUAACUGAAUGUUAGCUGGGGUCUGGUUGGACACUAGAUAUCCCCUGUGGACAACUGGACAAACAUCAGGAGAGACCAAUGGAUAGUUUUUCUCUUUGCUCUGAAGUUCUUAGGCAUGGAGGGUCCAUUUGAGAAUUAGUUGAAAAAGUUGUCUUUGGUGACUUAGAUUAAAUAACUAUCAAUGUUUUUCCUCUAGAGAACUGGCACUAUGACUUUUGCAGAUACUUGGUUUUUAAUAAAUUCAGGGCAAAUAAUUCACUUCUCUCCCCAAGUGUAAAAAUAUUUUGUUCUUAUCACCCCCAGGAAUAGAGUGAUCUGUGUCCCCAGGGGCAGUAGGUACUCAGUAAAUGUUUGUGGAAUUGAUUUGAAUUCAGCCUUUUGAGUGACAUUUAACCAACAAAGCAUUUUCUCCCAUUAUAUUACCUGUAUUCUAGGUAGCUAUGUAGGCCUCUCCCCAAAUGCAGUG
This 511-nucleotide long non-coding RNA is filed under the name Homo sapiens (human). Its description in RNAcentral is "non-protein coding lnc-TMEM268-4:1". The record is from RNAcentral. Lineage: Eukaryota; Metazoa; Chordata; Mammalia; Primates; Hominidae.